This 1674-nucleotide ribosomal RNA is filed under the name human gut metagenome. RNAcentral's name for it is "bacterial LSU rRNA". It matches the Rfam family "Bacterial large subunit ribosomal RNA", at positions 232 to 1985 of the family's 2925-position model. The record is from RNAcentral.
CGAUUCCGUAAGUAGUGGCGAGCGAAAGCGGAUGGAGCCCAAACCGAAGGUAUUCCUUCGGGGUUGUAGGACCACGUCAUAUUCGACCAUACUGGAUAGUAGAACAGCCUGGAAAGGCUGGCCGGAGAAGGUGAAAGCCCUGUAGACGAAAUCCAGAGUGGGAAUUAGUGGUAUCCUGAGUAAUACAUCACACGUGGAACGAUGUAUGAACCCGCGCGGACCACCGCGCAAGGCUAAAUACUAGUUGGCGACCGAUAGUGAACAAGUACCGCGAGGGAAAGGUGAAAAGAACCGCUGUGAGCGGAGUGAAAUAGAACCUGAAACCGUAUGUCUACAAAGUGUCAGAGCAGAGCAAUCUGCGAUGGCGUGCCUUUUGUUUAAUGAGUCUGCGAGUCAGUGUUUGUGGCAAGACUAAGGGCUUCCGGCCCGGAGUCGCAGCGAAAGCAAGUCCGAACAGGGCGCAAUAAGUCGCAGGUACUGGACCCGAAGCGGAGGUGACCUACCCUUGGCCAGGUUGAAGCAUGGGUAAAACCAUGUGGAGGACCGAACAGGUGAACGUUGAAAAGUUCUCUGAUGAGCUGAGGGUAGGAGUGAAAGGCUAAUCAAACCCCGUGAUAGCUGGUUCUCUUCGAAAUGCAUUUAGGUGCAGCGUCACGUGCUGAUGCGCGGGGGUAGAGCACUGACAAGGCUAGGGGGCACACCCGCUUACCAAACCUUAUCAAACUCCGAAUACCGUGCAAUGGAACGUGGCAGUGAGACAGUGGGGGAUAAGCUUCAUUGUCGAGAGGGAAACAACCCAGACCAGCAGCUAAGGUGCCUAAAUAACGCUCAGUGGAAAGGAUGUGGGAUUACACAGACAGUGAGGAUGUUGGCUUAGAAGCAGCCACCAUUUAAAAAAUGCGUAAUAGCUUACUCAUCGAGUGAUCCUGCGCCGAAAAUGAUUGGCGAUCAAGCGUUAUACCGAAGCUCUGGACUUUGCCGCAAGGCAGAGUGGUAGAAGAGCGUUGCAUGCGCGUCGAAGGGCGAUGGCGACUGACCCUGGAGCACAUGCAAGUGAGUAUGCAGACAUGAGUAACGUUAAGCCGGGUGAAAUCCCCGGCCGCCGUAAACCCGAGGUUUCCAGGGCAACGUGUUUCGUCCCUGGGUUAGCCGGGACCUAAGCCGAGGCCGAGAGGCGUAGGCGAUGGACAUCAGGUUAAUAAUCCUGAGCUCGCAACCCUUAAACUGGGGGGACGCAUGAGAAAAGAUGACUAGGUUAUUGAAUUCCGAGUUGAGUCCACGGACUCAGCGCAUCAUUGGAUCGAGUGCCAAGAAAAGCCCCAGCGUAUGCUAAGCGACCCGUACCGCAAACCGACACAGGUGGGUGGGUAGAAUAUACCAAGGCGUAAGAGUGAAACCUGGUUAAGGAACUCGGCAAAUUAGCCCCGUAACUUCGGAAGAAGGGGUGCCUGCAGCGAUGCAGGCCGCAGAGAAAUGGCCCAACCGACUGUUUAUCAAAAACACAGCACUCUGCAAAGACGCAAGUCGAAGUAUAGGGUGUGACACGUGACCAAUGCCGAAAGAUUAAGGCAAGGGGUUAGCCGCAAGGCGAAGCUCUAAACCCAAGUCCCGGUGAAUGUCGGCCGUAACUAUAACGGUCCUAAGGUAGCGAAAUUCCUUGUCGGGUAAGUUCCG